Molecule: non-coding RNA, 333 nt
Organism: Pelobates cultripes (western spadefoot toad)
Lineage: Eukaryota; Metazoa; Chordata; Amphibia; Anura; Pelobatidae
Source: the annotation of a GenBank genome assembly
AAAGAUAAAGACAUUGACUUUCUUAAGUGAAAGCUAAAGGAGUAUCAGAAGAGUAAACAAUUGAUGAGCAAAAAAUCUCAAAAUGCUAAUGAAAAAGUCUUAGGCUUCUUACAGAGUGGAUUACCGCAUAACACUUGCAGGAGAAGCACACGCAAUUGUGGAAUCACUAAUAAAACCGUGUGUAAAAGAAAUAGUGUAAUGUACUUUAAAUGAAAAGUUGAGUAAAAAAAAUUGAAGCUGUGCCACGUUCCAACAACACAGUUUUGCAACGUUUUCAUGAUCUUGCUGAUAACAUCCAUACUGAACUAAUUUCUCAACUGCAUCAAAUUGCUG